CUCGGUGGUUCGCGCGGGGUGGACCCACCCGUUCCCAUCCCGAACACGGUCGUGAAACGCCCCAGCGCCGACGAUACUGCCCGGGCAACCGGGUGGGACAAUAGGCCACUGCCGGGC
Molecule: ribosomal RNA, 117 nt
Filed under: Pseudomonadota bacterium
Lineage: Bacteria; Pseudomonadati; Pseudomonadota
Also listed under: 3 other names
Source: RNAcentral